ACACGGAACUUUUCAUGCUCUUUUCACUUUGCCAAACACUCCAUCUCUAGCAUCAAUAUUCUCUCUCAAACGCCAAACGCAGACGCCGAACUCUAGCUUCGCUGAACAAGGUAUCAUCGGCUUUCAAGGUAUCAUCUUCCUAUUUAGUAUCCUCCUCCUCCUACCAUUACUCUCUCAUACGCCUAAAUUCUCAAAACCCUAAAAUUUGUGCAUACUCUUAUUUUGGGUGAAAAUUUUGUGAAGGGAUUACUCUAAUUUGGAGAGGCAGGUAGAUGUCUUACUGUAGUUUCUUUGCAUGUUGUUUUAUUUGAUAUAUAUUCUCGUGUGCAUAGGCAGUAAGAUUGUUGUUAUAGAGAACGUGGAUGCUACUGAGGUGAGUUCAUUAAACUUCCCCCAUUGAUUUUUUCUUUUAUUUUUUGGGCUUUUCAAGUCUUUAAUAGUUGUUGUAGCUUUGCAAUGCUUCUAAUCUGUUGAUUUCAUUUGCAAAGAGUUAAGCAUUAUGGAAUUAUAUGUACUGUUCCUUUGCAGGAUCAAUUUGAUUGCAUUGAUUUGUCUGACAAUGAGAUAGUUAAGCUUGAAAAUUUUCCCUAUCUAAAUUGACUUGGUACUUUGUUGCUAAACAACAAUAGAAUUACCCGUAUUAAUCCUAGCAUUUGGGUUAAAAUUUUGUGCAAACUCUUUGAGAAUUGAAAAGGAAGGGAUUACUUUAAUUCGAACUCUGAUAGUGGUAUAUGUCUGAUGGAUUAGUUUCUCUUGUAGGGACUUACUGAGAAGUUCAAGGAGAAGGACAUUGCAUACUUGUUCAAGGCUUUAUUCGUUCAAGAUUCUAGCACUCGUCUGUUUGAUGCUUUAGAACAUUGUGGACUUGCAUUCGGAUAUAUUAUAAGGUUACAUAAGGAUUCUGUUUUUGUUAUGUGCUAACCCUGAUCAGUGUCAUCAAAAUUCAGAAGCUCCUAGUUGGGAAUUAUUCCUUGAUUUUGCUACUUUGGAAUUUCUUUGUAACCAUCUCCGUGCAAGAAGAUGCUUAAAUAGGAAAAAUUUGUAAUUAUAAUUUGGGAGAUGUAAUGAAGCAAAGAUAUUAGCUCAAUAUUUGUUUGAUGCAUUUCUAUCUCAUUUUGGUACAUAUUGGCAUGUGCUCUUGUAUUGAAAAUCCCUCUUCACU
RNAcentral lists this long non-coding RNA (1162 nucleotides) under Panax ginseng (ginseng). RNAcentral describes it as "long non-coding RNA (PGIN_LNC004432)". Lineage: Eukaryota; Viridiplantae; Streptophyta; Magnoliopsida; Apiales; Araliaceae. The record is from RNAcentral.